RNAcentral lists this transfer RNA (73 nucleotides) under Stegodyphus mimosarum. It matches the Rfam family "tRNA". Rfam says of the family: Transfer RNA (tRNA) molecules are approximately 80 nucleotides in length. Their secondary structure includes four short double-helical elements and three loops (D, anti-codon, and T loops). The record is from Rfam by way of RNAcentral. Lineage: Eukaryota; Metazoa; Arthropoda; Arachnida; Araneae; Eresidae.
GCCUUCGUGGUGUAAUGGUUAACACACUCGGCGCGUAUUCGAGAAGUCUGAGGUUCGAAUCCCGGCGAGGGCA